GUUAACAUCAGCCGCUAAGCUGCUGAACACAAUAGUGAUAAGCAAACAAUGGAACUAUUAAUCUGUCGGACUUUCUAAAAGACACAGAAAAUUUAUAUGUUAAUCUAGAAAAAGCAAUGGAACUAUGUUUUUGGCCAUAAAUGAUGUUUAAUGUUGUCCUAAAUUAAUAUACUAGUCUAGUGUUGAGGGAAAUGAUCAAAGAGACAGCUCA
This 211-nucleotide unclassified non-coding RNA is filed under the name Hevea brasiliensis (rubber tree). The record is from RNAcentral. Lineage: Eukaryota; Viridiplantae; Streptophyta; Magnoliopsida; Malpighiales; Euphorbiaceae.